Molecule: ribosomal RNA, 266 nt
Filed under: uncultured bacterium
Lineage: Bacteria
Description: partial 16S ribosomal RNA
Rfam family: Bacterial small subunit ribosomal RNA
Source: RNAcentral
GUCCACGCCGUAAACGAUGAAUGCCAGCCGUUAGUGGGUUUACUCACUAGUGGCGCAGCUAACGCUUUAAGCAUUCCGCCUGGGGAGUACGGUCGCAAGAUUAAAACUCAAAGGAAUUGACGGGGGCCCGCACAAGCGGUGGAGCAUGUGGUUUAAUUCGACGCAACGCGCAGAACCUUACCAGCCCUUGACAUCCCGGUCGCGGACUCCAGAGACGGAGUUCUUCAGUUCGGCUGGACCGGAGACAGGUGCUGCAUGGCUGUCGU